UGGCAAUGAUUAAUUAUUUAUCCGCGCUUCUGAGAGCAAUCUGUGAAGCAUAAAAAUAAAUAUUGGUUGAAUUUCUUGAUAUGAGCCA
This 88-nucleotide small nucleolar RNA is filed under the name Cephalotus follicularis. Lineage: Eukaryota; Viridiplantae; Streptophyta; Magnoliopsida; Oxalidales; Cephalotaceae. The record is from RNAcentral.